This is a long non-coding RNA of Mercenaria mercenaria, 364 nucleotides long. RefSeq lists it as uncharacterized. The transcript has 2 exons. NCBI's taxonomy places the organism in Eukaryota, Metazoa, Mollusca, Bivalvia, Venerida, Veneridae. The record is from RefSeq and is a predicted model, not a curated record.
UACCGUAAAAUUUAAUGGGUUUUACGGUUAAAUAGUAACGGGUACAGACCGUAGUAUAUGAUUACGGUAUAAGACCGUUGGAACGGAGUGUAUUCUGGGAUAGCGCCAUUAUUGAUUCGACUUUCAAACAGUUUGAAAAAUGCACGUAUGAAUGGAAGAAACUAUUUUAAGACACACAUACUAGUGCAUCUGUCUGGAUUUUGAUUGUCUAAAACAGUUCCGUUCAAUGUUUACAUCGAAAAAUGCAGUAUUUGUAUGAGUAAUGUAGAUAAAUGUGGACUCUGAGUAUGUGCGUUAAUAAACUGGAGGCAGCUUUGAAGAAUUGUACUCUCAAUAAACAAAACAAAACAAAAAAAAAAAAAAA